GACGAACGCUGGCGGCGUGCCUAAUACAUGCAAGUAGAACGCACAGGAUGCACCGUAGUUUACUACACCGUAUUCUGUGAGUUGCGAACGGGUGAGUAACGCGUAGGUAACCUGCCUGGUAGCGGGGGAUAACUAUUGGAAACGAUAGCUAAUACCGCAUAAGAACAUUUACUGCAUGGUAGAUGUUUAAAAGGUGCAAGAGCAUCACUACCAGAUGGACCUGCGUUGUAUUAGCUAGUUGGUAAGGUAACGGCUCACCAAGGCAACGAUACAUAGCCGACCUGAGAGGGUGAUCGGCCACACUGGGACUGAGACACGGCCCAGACUCCUACGGGAGGCAGCAGUAGGGAAUCUUCGGCAAUGGGGGGAACCCUGACCGAGCAACGCCGCGUGAGUGAAGAAGGUUUUCGGAUCGUAAAGCUCUGUUGUUAAGGAAGAACGUGUGUGAGAGUGGAAAGUUCACACAGUGACGGUACUUAACCAGAAAGGGACGGCUAACUACGUGCCAGCAGCCGCGGUAAUACGUAGGUCCCGAGCGUUGUCCGGAUUUAUUGGGCGUAAAGCGAGCGUAGGCGGUUAGAUAAGUCUGAAGUGAAAGGCAGUGGCUCAACCAUUGUAGGCUUUGGAAACUGUUUAACUUGAGUGCAGAAGGGGAGAGUGGAAUUCCAUGUGUAGCGGUGAAAUGCGUAGAUAUAUGGAGGAACACCGGUGGCGAAAGCGGCUCUCUGGUCUGUAACUGACGCUGAGGCUCGAAAGCGUGGGGAGCGAACAGG
RNAcentral lists this ribosomal RNA (773 nucleotides) under uncultured Streptococcus sp. RNAcentral describes it as "bacterial SSU rRNA". It matches the Rfam family "Bacterial small subunit ribosomal RNA", at positions 28 to 776 of the family's 1533-position model. Lineage: Bacteria; Bacillati; Bacillota; Bacilli; Lactobacillales; Streptococcaceae. The record is from RNAcentral.